Microcebus murinus (gray mouse lemur) is the source of this 3738-nucleotide non-coding RNA. The record is from RefSeq and is a predicted model, not a curated record. NCBI's taxonomy places the organism in Eukaryota, Metazoa, Chordata, Mammalia, Primates, Cheirogaleidae.
GUGCACUCCGGCAGGUCAAGUCUGGGCUAUAAUUGCCCCUAAUUAGCAUUUCCAGCACAUAGAACUUUCCCCAACCUCAGCCUACAGCUAAGUGGUUCUCAGAAAAGGACAGAAAUUAUUUUCUACCUUUGAAAACAUCAAAGGAAAUUACCCCAUUCUUGCCUAUACCUCUUGGCUGGCCUCGCUGCGGUGGUGUCGGGAGGGGCCGAGCCAUUAGAGGUACCUAGAGGGUCCCUGAAUCAGAUACAGUUGACCCUGAACCACGCAACGCAGGCGCCAAUGCACAGGGUCACUUAUGUACAGAGUUUUUUCAGUAACAGUUACGCCGAGUGUGCCUGCCUCUCCUCCCUUCCUCCUCCUCCACCUCUCCCACCUCUGCCACGCCAGAGACAGCAACCAACCCCUCCCCUUCCUCCUCCUCUUAGCCUACUCAUCAUGAAGGAUGGAGACCUCUAUAGCGAGCCACUUCCACUUAAUGAAUAGUCAAUAUAUUUUCUUCCUUAUGAUUUUCAUAGUAACAUUUUCUUUUGUCUAGCUGACUUUAUUGUAAGCAGUAUAUAAUACACAUCACAUGCGAAAUAUGUGUUAAUUGGUUGCUUAUGUUAUUGGUCAGUCAACAACAGGCUGUUAGUAAUUAAGUCUGGGAGAAGUCAAAGUUAUAGGAGGAUUUUUUACGGUGGGGGAGGGUCUGUGCCCCUAACCCCCAGGUUGUUCAAGGUCAACUGUGGUACCUGAUGGGACAUGUGCUCCGGGGGGCUCCCACCACCCCCAGGCUAUUCAGAGUUUUAUGUUCUCCCCUCCUUUGCCAUAUAAGGCCCUGGCAGGUGGGGCUGAGUCUAGACUUCUUUGUAAACAUCCCCUGCCAAGCACAGCGCUGCUCAUGUGGGAUGCAGUCAUAGGAUCUCAGCUGGAAAUGUCCCUCUAGUCCCCAUGACUACACUCCAAACACUUAUGUAUUGACUGUGUUUUUGUCCCAAUAUUCUAAACGCUGUGGAUGAAAAAGUGAACGAAUCAAUGUCCCUGAUCAUGUGGAACUUUUAUGUUAGUGUGGGGGGUGGAGUGCGAUUGACACUAAACAAUAAGUGGGUAACAUGUCACAUGUUUCCUGAAGAUGCCAAAGAAAAGCAGUAAACCAAUGUAAGGGGGUGGAAUGCUGUGGCACUGUUUCCACUAGACAGGGGCAUCGGGAGUCAUUUCUGACAAGGGACAUUUGCGGGCAGGCCUAAGGGAAGGGAGGGGACAGAGCGCAGCAGGCGGAAAACCAGCAGGUGCACAGUCGAGGCCGGAACGCGCUGGGUAUGUGGGGGUGGGGGGAGGUGAGGCGGAGAGCAACGCGGCUGCCGCAGAGUGCAUAGGAGCAGGUGACAGGAGAGGACAUGAACACGCAGGCUGGCAACAGAGCCGACGUUACCACUGGGCUAGCCCUGGGAGAGCUGAGGGCUAUGGGCCUGCCCAAGUCAUCAUUCAACGCCCAGGGCCUUCCCGCAGGUGCUGGCUGGGGAGGCCCCCAUGGCGGCUUGCUUGUCCUGGGAGCUGUGUGUUGCGAAGGGCUGGUUUGGGUCGGGCAGUCCUAGCUUCUCCCCAACUGCGGGGGUCCUCGGUCCUCAUGCAGUUUCGGUCUAAUGAACCUGAAUGCUCUACACAUGGCGGGCGAGGAGUAGAGCUAGGACUAGAACCCAGUGCUGCUGAACUCGGAGCGAGUGGGGUUUGUCUCACUCACAGGGACCUCUUGCCACCCUGCCCUUCAUGGAUUCCCUUUCUAAGCGCUGCCCUCCCCAGUCAGCGUGGCACCAGGGCCGGGAAGGCCCAGGGGAGAGGCUGGCCUGGGAAACCAUCAGCUCUGUGACACGGAGAGCCCAGAACCCCCUGUCCCUGGGGACCGUCCUCAAAACACGCAGCCACCCAUUCUUGGGUGUCCCUCUGCAGUGCCCGAGAGUGUGAGCACUAACGCCGGCGCGGGGUCAGGUCAGGCUGCCUUCACUCAGGCCACACCCCUCCUCCGUGCCAUAAUGGCAGGCCUUGUUGAUUCAUGUUCCAAUCGGCCCCAGGGCAGGUCUGCUGUGGCCAUGCUGACCGGGCGAACCUCUGACACAUCUGGGGUACAGUUCUGCACCCACAAACCUGCCCUGCCACACAGAAGUAGGUUCUGGUAACCCCGUCAUAUGUCUCCGUCUUGGCUCGUGCGGGAUCUACCUCCUUGGACUUCACGUGGAGCCCACUUCCUCAUUCCGCCAUUUCCUAAGGCGGGGACUUUCGCACCACACUCCGGGGCAGAGCUCAUCUCCCCCCUCCCUGGCGCCCUGCCCAUGCCCGCUGCAGACUGCCCUGUGGAAGUGCCUCUCGGGACACCGAGGCCCCGGUCCCUUCCUGAGGGAGAUGGAGUCUGGGAGACCCUUAGCAUCCUCCUGGCGAUCAGGUGAGGAAACUCAGGCUCCUCAGAAGUGUAGCAUGCCGACAGCAAUGCCUCUAUCAGCAGCCGACGGAGGGAUUUGAGACCAGAAACCUGGUGAAAUAAUGCAGGAUUUAGCCCAAGCAUCCCUCCUGCCGGGAGACGUCUCAGCGCUGGUCCAGCCACUGCCCAGGGAAGGGGCAACUGUCAGAUGGCCCCAGAAGCUGUCAGAAGGAGAGAGAGAAACUGGACAUGAACUGCAGAAGGAAUAGCACAAUCGGAGGUCUUGACAUCAGCUCUUGGUGAAGCCGCUGGAAGCUGGAUGCAGCGUGUCAGCAUGUGUAUGCUGUGCCCACGGCAGGCAUUAUUAAUCAAUCGCGGCAUCUUCCUUGUCUAGUCCAGACUUGGCUUUGGAAUCCUUCUCAGCCUACUACUCCAGGAAGCCACUGAGAGUGACUGGAAUUGGCAGGCAAGGAAGCAAUCAUGUACUGUGAUAGCUGUGACGACUACCAUGAAAGGAUGUCGCAGGGAGCUGCAUGCACGAAGACAGAGGUGCUGGCGGCAGGGGCUGCAGGGCACGUGAAGGGCGGGCUGUCCACGCGCCACAGCAGGCCCAGCUAGGCAGCCUGCUCCAUCUGGUCACAGAAGGUGAGUAGAGCCAGUGACAACCUCUCCCCCAAACUGAAAAAGAAACAGGAGACCCACGGCCUCUUGCCAGAGAAAGAAAGGGAGGAGAGGAAUGAGACCGAGAAAGAGAGAAGGACAAAGAGCAAUGUCUCUGAAGUGUGGUGGGAAAAGGCUGGGGAACGUCUAAAAGUCCCAAACCCAUCCAGGGCCAGGCGAGGUGGGAGCGCAGAGGAGGAAGGUGCCGUCUCACGUUUCUUCCUGUCUCUACUCUAUGGCCAGACCAGGCGUAGAAGACCGCCCACGGGCCCAGCUGCCUCCGUGGCUUCCAUGCUGAGCAGAGCGGAAGUGCCAGCGAGCAGAUGCCACGUGGCCAGCACGGGUCCAGGUGUGGGCAAUGCUACUUGGAGGCGUGCACGGCCAGGGGGCUGAAGCGCCGGCCCUGCGAAGGUUGGACAGCCCAGCCGCCAUCGUGUCCCUGCUGCAGCCCAGCCGCUGUCCCUGUCCCCGCUGCAGCGCAUGAGGACCACAGUGAGCAGGGUGCCUGCUCUCUCCUCUCCCAAAUCCUGGGCUGUGCCGGGCAGGGGAAGGGAAAGGGAGAGGGAGAGGAGUGUGUCAGCAGGAGACCUGGGACCUGCAGGCCUCAGGACUUCCUUAGGGAGUUCUGCAGACCUUGUCUCCAAGUCAAUAAACAAACAGAGAGAAGGUCAUGGGGAAGUGUGAGA